AACGAACGCUGGCGGCGCGCCUAACACAUGCAAGUCGAACGAGAAUCCGGGGCAACCCGGUAGUAAAGUGGCAAACGGGUGAGGAAUACAUGGGUAACCUACCCUUGAGAAGGGAAUAACCCGCCGAAAGGUGAGCUAAUACCCUAUACGCUAUCUUUUUUUCGAAAGGAAUAGGAAAGACCGGGUCGGAGGACCUGGUACUCAAGGAGGGGCGUCAUGUCCUAUCAGCUUGUUGGUGGGGUAACGGCCUACCAAGGCUACGACGGGUAGCUGGUCUGAGAGGAUGAUCAGCCACACUGGCACUGAGAUACGGGCCAGACUCCUACGGGAGGCAGCAGUGAGGAAUAUUGCGCAAUGGGCGAAAGCCUGACGCAGCGACGCCGCGUGGGGGAGUGAAGGUUUUCGG
RNAcentral lists this ribosomal RNA (406 nucleotides) under uncultured bacterium. RNAcentral describes it as "bacterial SSU rRNA". It matches the Rfam family "Bacterial small subunit ribosomal RNA", at positions 29 to 421 of the family's 1533-position model. The record is from RNAcentral.